AGAGUUUGAUCCUGGCUCAGGACGAACGCUGGCGGCGUGCUUAACACAUGCAAGUCGAGCGGUAAGGCCCUUCGGGGUACACGAGCGGCGAACGGGUGAGUAACACGUGGGUGACCUGCCCCCUACUCUGGGAUAAGCCUGGGAAACUGGGUCUAAUACCGGAUAUGACUACAUGUCGCAUGGUGUGUGGUGGAAAGUUUUUCGGUGGGGGAUGGGCCCGCGGCCUAUCAGCUUGUUGGUGGGGUGAUGGCCUACCAAGGCGACGACGGGUAGCCGGCCUGAGAGGGCGACCGGCCACACUGGGACUGAGGCACGGCCCAGACUCCUACGGGAGGCAGCAGUGGGGAAUAUUGCGCAAUGGGCGGAAGCCUGACGCAGCGACGCCGCGUGGGGGAUGACGGCCUUCGGGUUGUAAACCUCUUUCGGCCCCGACGAAGCGUGAGUGACGGUAGGGGUAGAAGAAGCACCGGCCAACUACGUGCCAGCAGCCGCGGUAAUACGUAGGGUGCGAGCGUUGUCCGGAAUUAUUGGGCGUAAAGAGCUCGUAGGCGGUCUGUCGCGUCGGUCGUGAAAACUUGGGGCUUAACCCUGAGCUUGCGGUCGAUACGGGCAUGACUGGAGUUCGGCAGGGGAGACUGGAAUUCCUGGUGUAGCGGUGAAAUGCGCAGAUAUCAGGAGGAACACCGGUGGCGAAGGCGGGUCUCUGGGCCGAUACUGACGCUGAGGAGCGAAAGCGUGGGGAGCGAACAGGAUUAGAUACCCUAGUAGUCC
RNAcentral lists this ribosomal RNA (771 nucleotides) under uncultured bacterium. RNAcentral's name for it is "bacterial SSU rRNA". It matches the Rfam family "Bacterial small subunit ribosomal RNA", at positions 8 to 796 of the family's 1533-position model. The record is from RNAcentral.